CCACCACCACCACCCCCAACUUUUACACCGAUGCUGCGGCUCAAGGGCUCAAGCCAGCCCAUUUGGAGUUUGGACUUUCCUGUUUGGAAUGCGGAGCUUUGAAAGAAAAGCUGUGUAUGGAAGUGGGCUCUUUUAGAAAAUAGAUUAUCACAGAAAUAGCCUGAAGGUCCAAAGGCCAGUUGCUGAUAGGAUUCGGGUGGGGCCAGGAGAUUGGGAAAUACAGAUACUUAGUUGUGUCUCGGUCGCAUCUACACUGGGCUGAAAAGCAAGGGAACUGGAUUCUGAUUUCGUCCUAUCAGGUUUACGUGACCUCAGGCAAGUUACUUGUGCGAACCUAAAUUUCCUCCUGUGUGAAAGGAGCUUGUAGCCAGCGGAGGUUCCAGGCGCCCUCCUGCUCAACAAUUACGGGAUUCUUCCAAGAGUUUGAAGUCAUGUGGUUCCACUCAACGGAAUGUGGCACGUGGGGACUACCAGAUGCUGGGAAGUUGGAAUAAAGCGUGGGUGCUGGUCCUGUCCAGCUCAGGAGGACUGAGGAACUGAGGGGGACAGGUUCUCUCUGAUGCUACCCAGUUGCUUGUAUCCUUUUGCCCUCUGGCUAUGAUAUUUUUUUCUUCCUACCCAUAAACAUGGAUGGGUUUCCCAGAAAGUCAUUCCUUGGCCCAGGCUGAAUUUAGGAAGCCACGUUUUUGCCCUUGUCAGUCUCCGUGUCCCUGGACCCCCAGAACCCAAUGCACGGCUUGACACCUGUGUGCUCGUCCACCACGUCCUGGAUGGAGAGCCCGCUGUGUGCCCACCCUAGGUUAGGCCCUGGAAAUGGACAGGUGCCUAAGCCUCAGUUUGACUUCAAGUACGUCAGGACCCAAAACUCAGUGAUCAUUUCCUGCUUUUCUCUUUUGUGAUAACUCCGAAGGAGGGUAAAUGCCAAAAAGGCUCAUGUCUUUAUCUAUAAAGAGCUCAUACACAUGAAAAUAAAACGGAAGCAUCUUGAAUAGAGCAAGCGCAUGAUCAGAAAAAUUUUCAAAGAACUUCAUUUGCUUGACUGUAUUAAAAAAAAAAACAAAAACCUGAAACCU
Long non-coding RNA from Canis lupus familiaris (dog), 1073 nucleotides. RefSeq lists it as uncharacterized. The record is from RefSeq and is a predicted model, not a curated record. NCBI's taxonomy places the organism in Eukaryota, Metazoa, Chordata, Mammalia, Carnivora, Canidae. The transcript is spliced from 2 exons.